UCCCUGGUGGCUCACAUGGUAGAGUCUGCCUGCCAUGCAGGAGACCUGGGUUCAAUUCCUGGGUGGGGAA
This 70-nucleotide transfer RNA is filed under the name Bos taurus (domestic cattle). It matches the Rfam family "tRNA". Rfam says of the family: Transfer RNA (tRNA) molecules are approximately 80 nucleotides in length. Their secondary structure includes four short double-helical elements and three loops (D, anti-codon, and T loops). Further hydrogen bonds mediate the characteristic L-shaped molecular structure. tRNAs have two regions of fundamental functional importance: the anti-codon, which is responsible for specific mRNA codon recognition, and the 3' end, to which the tRNAs corresponding amino acid is attached (by aminoacyl-tRNA synthetases). tRNAs cope with the degeneracy of the genetic code in two manners: having more than one tRNA (with a specific anti-codon) for a particular amino acid; and 'wobble' base-pairing, i.e. permitting non-standard base-pairing at the 3rd anti-codon position. Lineage: Eukaryota; Metazoa; Chordata; Mammalia; Artiodactyla; Bovidae. RNAcentral also lists the same sequence under 5 other names. The record is from Rfam by way of RNAcentral.